UACGUAGGGUCCGAGCGUUGUCCGGAAUUAUUGGGCGUAAAGAGCUCGUAGGCGGUUUGUCGCGUCUGCUGUGAAAUCCCGAGGCUCAACCUCGGGUCUGCAGUGGGUACGGGCAGACUGGAGUGCGGUAGGGGAGAAUGGAAUUCCUGGUGUAGCGGUGGAAUGCGCAGAUAUCAGGAGGAACACCGAUGGCGAAGGCAGCCAGCUGGGACCAUAUUGACGCUGAGGCUCGAAAGCGUGGGGAGCGAACAGG
Molecule: ribosomal RNA, 253 nt
Filed under: uncultured bacterium
Lineage: Bacteria
Description: partial 16S ribosomal RNA
Rfam family: Bacterial small subunit ribosomal RNA
Source: RNAcentral